Prosopis cineraria is the source of this 265-nucleotide long non-coding RNA. RefSeq lists it as uncharacterized. The record is from RefSeq and is a predicted model, not a curated record. The transcript has 4 exons. Lineage: Eukaryota; Viridiplantae; Streptophyta; Magnoliopsida; Fabales; Fabaceae.
UUCAAUGCUUUGACCUCAGAAAAAGUUAGAGGUGCUACACUUGUUGUGUCAGGGGAUGGUCGCUAUUUUUCAAAGGAAGCAAUUCAGAUUAUUACCAAAAUGGCAGCAGCAAAUGGAGUAAAGACGUGUUUGGAUUGGUCAAAACGGAUUGCUUUCAACUCCUGCUGUAUCUGCUGUUAUACGUGAAAGAGUGGGGGUUGAUGGAUCCAGAGCAACAGGUGCAUUUAUACUGACUGCAAGUCAUAAUCCUGGUGGACCUCAUGAG